This 443-nucleotide ribosomal RNA is filed under the name uncultured bacterium. RNAcentral describes it as "partial 16S ribosomal RNA". It matches the Rfam family "Bacterial small subunit ribosomal RNA", at positions 338 to 795 of the family's 1533-position model. The record is from RNAcentral.
CCUACGGGAGGCUGCAGUGGGGAAUAUUGGACAAUGGGGGGAACCCUGAUCCAGCGACGCCGCGUGAGUGAAGAAGCACUUCGGCAUGUAAAGCUCUAUCAGCAGGGAAGAAAGAAAUGACGGUACCUGACUAAGAAGCCCCGGCUAACUACGUGCCAGCAGCCGCGGUAAGACGUAGGGGGCAAGCGUUAUCCGGAUUUACUGGGUGUAAAGGGAGCGUAGACGGCGAUGCAAGUCUGAAGUGAACGGCGGGGGCCCAACCCCCGGACUGCUUUGGAAACUGUAUGGCUGGAGUGCAGGAGAGGUAGGUGGAAUUCCUGGUGUAGCGGUGAAAUGCGUAGAUAUUAGGAGGAACACCAGUGGCGAAGGCGGCUUACUGGACUGUAACUGACGUUGAGGCUCGAAAGCGUGGGGAGCAAACAGGAUUAGAUACCCUUGUAGUC